UGUAUGUGUCUAAAUGGGUUAGGUCUACAUACUAUGUUCGUCUUCUUAUGCUAAGGUGGUGCUGUGGUUGCGGCACCGUUUGUCAUCGCGGGGGUCGGUUUUACUGCCGGUGGAAUAGCAGCAGGGUCCUAUGCGGCGAGCAUGAUGUCGGCCGCAGCAGUGGUCAACGGAGGAGCUGUGGCAGCUGGUACAACUGUGGCUGCGUUACAGUCCGCAGGUGUUCUUGGCCUUUCUGGAGCGGCCACGGCUGCAGUGGCAGGUGCUGGUGGGACAAUGGGCUGGCUUACUGCCGCUGUCGUCGCUCUGAUUUGAAAGACUAAUCUGCUCUCAAGACGAUGACCAUCAGGAGUUUCUGUUUUUGACUUAUCUGAAUGUUAAAAUGCAUAGGCUAAAUAGUGCAUAACCCGAGGUUUUAUAUGCAAUAAACAGUGUUUAUUGCUCAGCAUUGUUACUUAAAUGUUCUUCUAUUGCUCUGUAGCUAAAUGUUAAAUGCUUAAAUGUUAAUAGCUUAACUGUCACUCAGUUGCUGUAAGUCACUUUGGAUAAACACAUCUGCCAAAUUAAUAAAUGUAAAUUAAAAUAAAAAAUGGUUUAGCCACCCUUUGAAUGCAUAACAUAUAAAAUGGCCUGUACUCAUAUAUGUUUCAAGUUCAAGUUUAUAGUCAUAUAGGACUAUAAAAAUGCCACAUAAUUAUAUAUAGUGUUGUAUAUAUAGUGUCAUAAAUAGUGUUUGCACCUUUCCUAUUAUCAUUCUUCUCCUCUGGAAGCCCAUUAAACCGUACAGUAAAAAGUU
Sardina pilchardus (European sardine) is the source of this 793-nucleotide long non-coding RNA. RefSeq lists it as uncharacterized. The transcript is spliced from 2 exons. The record is from RefSeq and is a predicted model, not a curated record. NCBI's taxonomy places the organism in Eukaryota, Metazoa, Chordata, Actinopteri, Clupeiformes, Clupeidae.